Molecule: long non-coding RNA, 451 nt
Filed under: Mytilus galloprovincialis (Mediterranean mussel)
Lineage: Eukaryota; Metazoa; Mollusca; Bivalvia; Mytilida; Mytilidae
Source: RNAcentral
CUUACAUUAUGUUGAUUAGAACAUUUCAAUUAAGUUCUGGUUUAAUUGCAAAAUAAAGAUUUUUGAAAGAAAAUAUUACCCAAAAACCUAAAUUAUUUCAGCUGUACCGGUAUUGUUGAAUAAUGGUAAGCUGACACACCUUAACUUUAAUGAUUCCUUUUAGUGCAAAUACUAACAGUCACUUUUUAGAUAUCAAUGUAUGCUAAUGUCUUUAAUGCCUAAGAUCUAUUGAACCAUCAACCUCAGCUAUUAACGACACCUGUAAUUAAUGAAUUUAAAGCAGAAAUACUCUUAUAUUGAAGCAUACACAAAUAUCUUCCAAUUUGCAAAAUACUACUGUGGAUUCAUUAAUAUUCAUUGGAUACCAAUUUUCGUGGGUUUAGUGGGUACAGUUGACCCAUGAAUUCAAAUGUUUAACGAAUAAAAUAUUUUUAAUAGGCUUUGUAUACAG